This 29-nucleotide non-coding RNA is filed under the name Rattus norvegicus (Norway rat). The record is from RNAcentral. Lineage: Eukaryota; Metazoa; Chordata; Mammalia; Rodentia; Muridae.
GGUGUUUUCCUCUGGCGUCUGGAUGUGCA